Molecule: ribosomal RNA, 508 nt
Filed under: uncultured bacterium
Lineage: Bacteria
Description: bacterial SSU rRNA
Rfam family: Bacterial small subunit ribosomal RNA
Source: RNAcentral
UGGCUCAGGAUGAACGCUAGCUACAGGCUUAACACAUGCAAGUCGAGGGGCAUCAUGGAGUUGCUUGCAAACUCUGAUGGCGACCGGCGCACGGGUGAGUAACGCGUAUCCAACCUUCCCUAUAGUAGAGGAUAGCCCGGCGAAAGUCGGAUUAAUACUCUAUGUUUUCCGUUGCAGACAUCUAAGAUGGAACAAAGGCUUGCCGCUAUAGGAUGGGGAUGCGUCUGAUUAGGUAGUCGGCGGGGUAACGGCCCACCGAGCCAUCGAUCAGUAGGGGUUCUGAGAGGAAGGUCCCCCACAUUGGAACUGAGACACGGUCCAAACUCCUACGGGAGGCAGCAGUGAGGAAUAUUGGUCAAUGGGCGAGAGCCUGAACCAGCCAAGUAGCGUGCAGGACGACGGCCCUAUGGGUUGUAAACUGCUUUUAUGCGGGGAUAAAGUUCACUACGUGUAGUGUUUUGUAGGUACCGCAUGAAUAAGGACCGGCUAAUUCCGUGCCAGCAGCAGC